GCAGAAGACAAGAACAGACAUGUCUCCAAAGAAGCCAUCCAGAUGACCAGCAGACACAUGAAAAGACGCUCCACAUCCCUCAUCAUCGGGGAAAAUCAAAUCAAAAUCAUAAU
Molecule: long non-coding RNA, 113 nt
Organism: Lynx canadensis (Canada lynx)
Lineage: Eukaryota; Metazoa; Chordata; Mammalia; Carnivora; Felidae
Exons: 3
Source: RefSeq, a predicted model, not a curated record